UCGAGGAUCUUUUGCAAUGCGCGAAAGCGUGACAAUGCGACGCCGUGUGAGCGAUGAAGGUCUUCGGAUUGUAAAGCUCUGUCAGAUCGGAUGAAAUCCGGCUUUCUAACAAAUAGUCGGUUUGACGUUACGAUCAGAGGAAGCCACGGCUAACUCCGUGCCAGCAGCCGCGGUAAUACGGAGGUGGCGAGCGUUGUUCGGAUUUAUUGGGUGUAAAGGGUUUGUAGGUGUCCUGCUAAGUCUUUCUUUAAAUCCUAUGGCUCAACCAUAGAUAAGGGGAAGAAACUGACGGGAUUGAGUAUUGGAGAGGGAGGCGGAAUUCCCGGUGUAAGGGUGAAAUCUGUAGAUAUCGGGAGGAACACCAGUGGCGAAAGCGGCCUCCUGGCCAAAUACUGACACUGAAAAACGAAAGCAAGGGGAGCAAACA
This 427-nucleotide ribosomal RNA is filed under the name uncultured prokaryote. Its description in RNAcentral is "bacterial SSU rRNA". It matches the Rfam family "Bacterial small subunit ribosomal RNA", at positions 355 to 774 of the family's 1533-position model. The record is from RNAcentral.